GCUGAGCACUCCUACGGGAGGCAGCAGUGGGGAAUAUUGCACAAUGGGCGCAAGCCUGAUGCAGCCAUGCCGCGUGUAUGAAGAAGGCCUUCGGGUUGUAAAGUACUUUCAGCAGUGAGGAAGGUGGGUAUGUUAAUAGCAUAUUCAUUUGACGUUAGCUGCAGAAGAAGCACCGGCUAACUCCGUGCCAGCAGCCGCGGUAAUACGGAGGGUGCGAGCGUUAAUCGGAAUUACUGGGCGUAAAGCGCAUGCAGGUGGUUUGUUAAGUCAGAUGUGAAAGCCCGGGGCUCAACCUCGGAAUUGCAUUUGAAACUGGCAAACUAGAGUACUGUAGAGGGGGUAGAAUUUCAGGUGUAGCGGUGAAAUGCGUAGAGAUCUGAAGGAAUACCGGUGGCGAAGGCGGCCCCCUGGACAGAUACUGACACUCAGAUGCGAAAGCGUGGGGAGCAAACAGGAUUAGAUACCCUGGUG
Molecule: ribosomal RNA, 471 nt
Filed under: uncultured bacterium
Lineage: Bacteria
Description: bacterial SSU rRNA
Rfam family: Bacterial small subunit ribosomal RNA
Source: RNAcentral